Molecule: transfer RNA, 71 nt
Filed under: Stegodyphus mimosarum
Lineage: Eukaryota; Metazoa; Arthropoda; Arachnida; Araneae; Eresidae
Rfam family: tRNA
About the family: Transfer RNA (tRNA) molecules are approximately 80 nucleotides in length. Their secondary structure includes four short double-helical elements and three loops (D, anti-codon, and T loops).
Source: Rfam by way of RNAcentral
GCCUUCGUGGUGUAACGGUAGCACACUUGGCGCCUAUUCGAGAGGUCCAGGUUCGAGUCCCGGCGAGGUCA